GGGAUAUAGCUCAGCUGGGAGAGCACCUGCCUUGCAAGCAGGGGGUCACGAGUUCGAAUCUCGUUAUCUCC
RNAcentral lists this transfer RNA (71 nucleotides) under Anaerotignum faecicola. It matches the Rfam family "tRNA". From Rfam's summary of the family: Transfer RNA (tRNA) molecules are approximately 80 nucleotides in length. Their secondary structure includes four short double-helical elements and three loops (D, anti-codon, and T loops). The record is from RNAcentral. Lineage: Bacteria; Bacillati; Bacillota; Clostridia; Lachnospirales; Anaerotignaceae.